RNAcentral lists this transfer RNA (98 nucleotides) under Streptomyces galilaeus. RNAcentral's name for it is "tRNA-Cys". Lineage: Bacteria; Bacillati; Actinomycetota; Actinomycetes; Kitasatosporales; Streptomycetaceae. The record is from RNAcentral.
CCAGGACCGUAUCGAGACGGUCCGCGGCUUCGGCUACAAACUGAAGGCCUGAGCGGACAGGGGUAUGCGGGGGAUGUUGCGGCACCUGGUUCCGGCCC